AUGGUGAUCAGCUUCGGUUGCUCGGCACGUAGAAGGCCGACAUGGAUCUUGGCACUGCUGCUGCUCAUCCUGAUCACGAUGAUUCGAGUCCAUGGCCAGUCUUCUACCUCUGGAUUCAUAAGCCUCGACUGUGGGUACAGAAACACUAGCCCCUACAAGGACAGCGUCAUACGAGGAAUACAGCUCCUGUCCGAUGUUGGAUUCGUCGAGGGAGGUUUGACCCACCAAAUAGCAGCAGAGUUCAUGUCUGGUGCGGUAUAUGAGAGCCAAAAAACCUUGAGGAGCUUCCCCAACGGCUCACGGAAUUGCUACACGCUGCCAUCCACCACUGGUAAAAAGUUUUUGCUGAGGGCCUUGUUUACUUACGGAGACUACGAUGGGUUGAACAGGACUGUGGACGGGACUUUGUUUCUGUUUGGGCUCCAUAUCGGCGUCAAUUUUUGGGAUACGCUGAACUUAACAAAUAUGGAUCCAUCAAACACAUUAUGGAAGGAGGUGCUCACCGUUGCUCCGGGCGACUCUGUGUCAGUCUGCCUGAUAAACUUCGGUUUAGGGACUCCAUCCGUGUCUGCGUUGGAGCUGAGGCCACUGCUAGAUGCGAUGUACCCUUUUGUGAAUACUUCCGUAUCAGUGGGCUACUUUAGACGGAUCAGAUUCGGUGAAGCCACUAACUUUAUCACAAGAUAUCCAGUGGACCCUUACGACCGGUUCUGGGAGCAGUGGGCACUCAAUUCUUACCCCUGGAUCAACCUGAACACUAGCAGUCAAGUGGAGAUUCUCCCUGGCGACGACUACUUCAAUGUGCCGAUGGCCAUCUUCCAGAAGGCCACGACCCUAGACACGAACUACUCCUCAUCGUGA
RNAcentral lists this ribosomal RNA (861 nucleotides) under Triticum aestivum (bread wheat). RNAcentral describes it as "partial small subunit ribosomal RNA". The record is from RNAcentral. Lineage: Eukaryota; Viridiplantae; Streptophyta; Magnoliopsida; Poales; Poaceae.